GAUGAACGCUGGCGGCGUGCCUAAUACAUGCAAGUCGAACGGUGUAUCGCAAGAUACAUAGUGGCGAACGGGUGAGUAACGCGUUGGUGACCUGCCCCGAAGAGUGGGAUACCAGUUCGAAAGGACUGCUAAUACCGCAUGCGGUUCAUGAGAUUAGAGGCUUAUGAACCAAAGGAGACAUUCGCUUCGGGAGGGGCCUGCGUCCCAUCAGCUAGUUGGUAGGGUAACGGCCUACCAAGGCGAUGACGGGUAGGGGACCUGAGAGGGUGGCCCCCCACAAUGGAACGUGAACAACGGUCCAUACACCUACGGGUGGCAGCAGUAGGGAAGU
Molecule: ribosomal RNA, 331 nt
Filed under: uncultured bacterium
Lineage: Bacteria
Description: bacterial SSU rRNA
Rfam family: Bacterial small subunit ribosomal RNA
Source: RNAcentral